UUCGGUUCCCACAGCACUAAUGCACUGGAUCCUAUCACAUCUCCGCAGCUAAGCGUGCUUGGACGAGAGUAGUACUAGGAUGGGUGACCUCCCGGGAAGUCCUCAUGUUUCACCCAUU
This 118-nucleotide ribosomal RNA is filed under the name Brassica napus (rape). The record is from RNAcentral. Lineage: Eukaryota; Viridiplantae; Streptophyta; Magnoliopsida; Brassicales; Brassicaceae.